Molecule: ribosomal RNA, 496 nt
Filed under: uncultured bacterium
Lineage: Bacteria
Description: partial 16S ribosomal RNA
Rfam family: Bacterial small subunit ribosomal RNA
Source: RNAcentral
ACGAACGCUGGCGGCGUGCCUAAUACCUGCAAGUAGAACGCUGAAGGAAGGAGCUUGCUCUUUCUGGAUGAGUUGCGAACGGGUGAGUAACGCGUAGGUAACCUGCCUGGUAGCGGGGGAUAACUAUUGGAAACGAUAGCUAAUACCGCAUAAAAUUGAUUAUUGCAUGAUAGUCAAUUAAAAGGUGCAACUGCACCACUACCAGAUGGACCUGCGUUGUAUUAGCUAGUUGGUGGGGUAACGGCUCACCAAGGCGACGAUACAUAGCCGACCUGAGAGGGUGAUCGGCCACACUGGGACUGAGACACGGCCCAGACUCCUACGGGAGGCAGCAGUAGGGAAUCUUCGGCAAUGGAGGGAAGUCUGACCGAGCAACGCCGCGUGAGUGAAGAAGGUUUUCGGAUCGUAAAGCUCUGUUGUAAGAGAAGAACGAGUGUGAGGGUGGAAAGUUCACACUGUGACGGUAUCUUACCAGAAAGGGACGGCUAACUACGUG